AAGAAUUUAAAAGUCGAACAGACUUAAAAUUUAAGCGGCUACACCUAAAAUUAUAUCUUAAUCCAACAUCGAGGUCGCAAUCUUUUUUAUCGAUAUGAACUCUCCAAAAAAAUUACGCUGUUAUCCCUAAAGUAACUUGUUUUUUUAAUCGCUAAUAACGGAUCAAUUAUUCAUAAAUUAAUGAUUUAAACAAUUAAAAGUUUAUUAAAUUUUAAUAUCACCCCAAUAAAAUAUCAUCUAUUAUCAUAACAAAAAAAAUCUACAAAAUUAUAAUAAUAUAAAUAUAAAGAUUUAUAGGGUCUUCUCGUCUUUUAAAUAAAUUUUAGCUUUUUGACUAAAAAAUAAAAUUCUAUUAUAAAUUUUUAUGAAACAGUUAAUAUCUCGUCCAACCAUUCAUACCAGCCUUCAAUUAAAAGACUAAUGAUUAUGCUACCUUUGCACAGUUAGUAUACUGCGGCCAUUUAAAAAAAUUCAGUGGGCAGGUCAGACUUUAAAAAAAAUUCAAAAAGAC
This 511-nucleotide ribosomal RNA is filed under the name Lucilia illustris. RNAcentral's name for it is "partial 16S ribosomal RNA". RNAcentral also lists the same sequence under 2 other names. Lineage: Eukaryota; Metazoa; Arthropoda; Insecta; Diptera; Calliphoridae. The record is from RNAcentral.